This 266-nucleotide ribosomal RNA is filed under the name uncultured bacterium. RNAcentral describes it as "partial 16S ribosomal RNA". It matches the Rfam family "Bacterial small subunit ribosomal RNA", at positions 793 to 1055 of the family's 1533-position model. The record is from RNAcentral.
GUCCUAGCUGUAAACGAUGGGCACUAGGUGUGGGGGGAUCGACCCCUUCCGUGCCGCAGUUAACGCAUUAAGUGCCCCGCCUGGGGAGUACGACCGCAAGGUUGAAACUCAAAGGAAUUGACGGGGGCCCGCACAAGCGGUGGAGCAUGUGGUUUAAUUCGAUGAUACGCGAAGAACCUUACCGGGGCUUGACAUGCAGCUGAAGUUUGGUGGAAACACCUUAUGUCCCUCACGGGACAGUUGCACAGGUGCUGCAUGGCUGUCGU